This 305-nucleotide ribosomal RNA is filed under the name uncultured bacterium. Its description in RNAcentral is "bacterial SSU rRNA". It matches the Rfam family "Bacterial small subunit ribosomal RNA", at positions 337 to 639 of the family's 1533-position model. The record is from RNAcentral.
UCCUACGGGAGGCAGCAGUGAGGAAUAUUGGUCAAUGGGCUUACGCCUGAACCAGCCAAGUCGCGUGAGGGAAGACUGCCCUAUGGGUUGUAAACCUCUUUUGUCGGGGAGUAAGACCCGCCUCGUGCAGGCGGAGCGAGAGUACCCGAAGAAAAAGCAUCGGCUAACUCCGUGCCAGCAGCCGCGGUAAUACGGAGGAUGCGAGCGUUAUCCGGAUUUAUUGGGUUUAAAGGGUGCGCAGGCGGACCAUCAAGUCAGCGGUAAAAUCGUGGGGCCCAACCCCAUCCCGCCGUUGAAACUGGCGG